Toxorhynchites rutilus septentrionalis is the source of this 7107-nucleotide RNA transcript. RefSeq lists it as uncharacterized. The record is from RefSeq and is a predicted model, not a curated record. The transcript has 2 exons. NCBI's taxonomy places the organism in Eukaryota, Metazoa, Arthropoda, Insecta, Diptera, Culicidae.
GCAACACUGUGCAUUAACGGUGCUCGCAACCGGCCUGCCAUGAAAUUAGUUACGCAAAUAAUGAGACAUGCGACGCCGGUCUACAGUGGUAGUACCGUCGUUGAAUGUUUAUGCCCAAUAGGAAUGAGAAUCAAAACAAAAGAACAAAUUAGAGGUUGAUGAAAGUUGAUUUAAAAGAAAAAAAAUAAGUUUGGCAUAAAAUAGUUAGCACGAAAAAUAUAUUGAAGAAAAAGUUUAUUUAGGAACUAGAGAAUCAUUACGAUAUACGGUAGACUAAAUGAAUUUAGUUGAGUCAUUUUUCUCUAUUUUAAUACUGUUUAUUAUUUCAAAACAUCAAAUUAGGUUUGCGAAAAAGAAAUCAGUGGUCCUUUAAACGGCAAAAAUUUCUAAACUAGUACUAGUACUACUAGAUAGAUAGUAAGUACAACACAUUACGAUUUGAAGUGUUUUUAGAACUCGAUUUGAUUUCAUACAGAUCAUUUGUGGACGAGAAAUAUCUGCAAAAUUCCACGACACACGUUGUACGAGGUGGAAGAAAACUAUUAAUUGUAAGUUGUAUAUCAUUUAAUGUAAUUGCACUAUUUACCGGAACUAUUAAAUUGCAGUUUGAGCUGCCUUGAAGCUGCUACAAAAACAGUGGUGUAAUUCUUUGAAAUCCCGAACAUUCUCAAAAAUUAAUAAGAGAUAGGGAUCCAACCUCAAAACGAUGGAUGGAAUUGCGGAUAUGACAACGACUUCCUGCGGAGCCUGCGGAUUGGUGUCCGAGGUGAAUGAGCGCAUGGUAUGCUGUGACAAUUGCGAUGUUUGGUACCAUUACCGUUGCGUAGGUGUCACAGCAGCAGUCGAAAGUCAGGAGAAAUGGUAUUGCCCUGAGGAAGAUUGUCAGAACCAGAAAAAACUGGACGAAGAGACUUCUAAGACGGGUACCAAGAAGAAGACAGCCGAGGAUAUAUCGGAUAAAUCUAGUUUGAGAUCGGACGGAAAGUCCGGUUCGUCAUUGGAGCGGGAGCUAAGAGCUCUAGAAAAGGAGCGAAAAAAGAAAGAAUUGGAGAUGAGUAACGAACGGGUUCUGUGGGAAAAGCGGAUGGAAAUGAACCGAAUCCUACAAGAGCAGCGGAUUAAGAUGGAAAAUGAGCUCCGGGCCAAAGAACUACGGCAGGAAGAACAGUUGUUGCAGAAAGCGUUGCUCGAAAAGCAAACACAUUUAGACCGAAUGAAGAAAUUGAGAGAGUCGUAUCAUGACAAAAUGAAUCAAAUCGAGCAGGAUCUAUCGAAAUUGAAAUCUAGUGGUUUACAAACCGCAUCAUCGGGAGAAGGAACCUCGAAGAAUGUAAAGACACCGAAUACUGGAAUUCCGCUGGAAAAUGCGCAUGUACACAAUCAAAAGGAAUCAGAUAACCGCAAUAAGCAUAAGCCAGAGGAUGAACGAGAUGAAUCCGAGGAAGCAAGUAGCGAAGACGAGAGCGAUGGCAGUUCAGACGGAUCCAAUGAUGAUACUAUUUCGAGUGAAUCUGGUCAUGAAGAAGUAAAGGAAGAGAAACAAUCAAAAAAGAAACGAAAAAACCCCGAGCAGAGGCAGGCUCCGUCUAAAGUACAACUAGCUGCCCGGAGUGGGAUUAGUAAGAAACUUCCAGUCUUUACCGGGAAGCCGGAAGAAUGGCCAUUAUUCAUUGGAACUUAUCAAGCUUCCACAGAUGCUUGUGGAUUCAAUGACGUUGAAAACCUUGUUCGACUACAGGAGAGCUUGAAGGGUCCAGCAUUAGAAAGCGUUCGAGGACAGUUGCUUUUCCCAAAAUCCGUACCGAGAGUCAUCAGCAAACUUCGUCAGCUGUAUGGACGUCCGGAACAACUACUGCAAUGUCAUCUCGAAAAGGUGCGGCGACUGGAAGCUCCGAAGCCAGAUAAAUUGGCAACAUAUGUUCCUUUUGGGAAUACUGUAGAGCAGCUAUGUGAACAUUUGGAAGCGGCUAAAUUGAAGCAACAUCUCACAAAUCCUCUUUUAAUCCAGGAUUUGGUCGACAAGCUUCCUGCUCAUGACAAGCGUGAGUGGGUUCGGUUCAAGAACCAGCAAAAGAGAGUUAAUCUCCGUACUUUUACCGACUUUGUGUCAACAAUCGUUGCAGAAGCUUGCGAGGCCAAUGUAAAGAUGGAUUUCCAGCAGCCAGCAGCGCAUGAGUAUGCGGGAAAGGGCAAAAUAAAGGAAAAAGGCGUUCAUGUAUACAACCACAGUGCUGUGGAAAGGUCUUCCGUCGGAGCCGAUGAGAUUUAUCCGAAACCGUGCAGAGUGUGCAAGCGUACUGAUCAUCGUCUUCGAUUCUGUCAGGACUUUAGAGCACUGGCUUUGGCGGACCGCCUGAAACUGGUAGAACAAGGGAAACUAUGCGUCAUAUGCCUUAAUGAUCACGGUAACGCUCCGUGCAAAUUCAAAAUACGAUGCAACAUCGAUGACUGUCGAGAACGACACAACCCUCUUCUCCAUCCCGUCACAGUAGCAAUCAAUGCACACUUCCGAUGUACCAGCACAAUCCUAUUCCGCAUGCUGCCAGUUACGUUACACUGUGGAAAGCGAUCUGUAAACACAUUGGCUUUCUUGGACGAGGGUGCGUCUGUAACUCUAAUUGAAAAGUCAUUAGCCGAAGUAAUGGGGGCCGAAGGACCCAAGGAGAAGCUGACCAUCAAAUGGACGGCCGAUAUAACGCGUGUAGAGAAGGAAUCACGCAGGGUAAACUUACUGAUUUCUGGAAGUGGAAGUUCAGAGAAGUAUCAGCUCAGUUCGGUCAGGACGGUAGAUGAGCUGCUUCUGCCGAAACAAACUAUAGACGCAACAGGAAUCAGCCGCCGGAUGAAGCAUCUUCGUGGACUACCAAUAGCGUCCUACGAAAAUCAACGCCCUGGUUUGCUAAUAGGCUUGAAUAACUUGCAUGUGAUUGCACCGAUGGAAGCAAAAAUCGGUGAGCUGGGCGAUAUGAUAGCGGUACGUUCCAAGCUGGGAUGGGCAGUUUACGGGCCAAAUCAGAUGCAGCCGUCGGAUUCGGAAGUGUAUCUUGGGCACCACGACGCAGUCAGCAAUCAAGAUCUUCACGAUUUACUAAAAGUUCAGUAUGCGUUAGAGGACUCUGUGAUUGUAAAGCUGCCGGAAUCGGAUGAGGAUAGAAGAGCGCGCCUAAUUCUGGAAAAGACCACUAGAAGAGUAGGAAAUCGUUUCGAAACAGGACUGUUGUGGGACAAAGAAGAUGCAGAGCUUCCGAACAGUUAUCCGAUGGCCGUGAGGAGAAUGAAGUGUCUGGAACAACGUCUACUGAAACAACCAGCGCUAUUCGAGAACGUAUGUAGUCAGAUCGAGCAGUACCAGCAGAAAGGAUACGCGCAUCCAGCAACCGCUGAAGAAUUGGCCGAAACCGAACCGGGGAAAGUUUGGUAUCUGCCCCUUAACGUCGUGGUCAACCCUAGAAAGCCGGGCAAAGUACGGCUCGUCUGGGAUGCGGCAGCAAGUGUGAAUGGUACAUCCCUCAACUCCUUGCUUCUCACGGGACCCGAUCUACUGGUAUCAAUUUUGACGGUAUUUUGUAAAUUUCGUGAAAGGCCAAUUGCUUUCGGUGGUGACAUUCGCGAAAUGUACCAUCAGAUGCUGAUUCGACGCGCUGACAAAAGAGUACAGCGGUUUAUUUUUCGACAUGAUCCUAGGGACGAACCCUGUAUUUAUGUUAUGGACGUGGCUACCUUUGGGGCAAAAUGCUCUCCAUGCUCAGCCCAGUUCGUGAAGAACAUGAACGCAAUGGAGUUUGUAGUGGAAAAUCCUGAAGCCGUAGCAGCAAUCGUCGAGAAACAUUACGUUGACGACUACUUCGACAGCGUGGAUACCAUCGAAGAGGCGAUACAGCGUGCGAAGCAGGUGAGACUUAUCCAUGCAAAGGGGGGUUUCGAAAUACGCAAUUGGGUAUCCAAUUCGGAAAAAGUUCUCAGUUCUCUCGGGGAAUCAAAAGAAGUUCAAACUAUUCACUUCAACCAAGACAAAGAGACUGGAAAUGAGCGAGUUCUUGGUAUAAUUUGGAAUACAGUUCAAGACGUGUUCUCUUUUUCGACCGAACAUCGCGAAGAUUUGCAAGAGUAUUUGCGGGGCAGCAAGAAACCGACGAAGCGUAUCGUGUUGAGUUGCGUUAUGGGAUUUUUCGACCCACUGGGAUUAUUAUCAUGUUUUACCGUGCAUGGAAAAAUCCUGGUACAGGACUUGUGGCGAAAUGGCUGCGAAUGGGAUCAAGAAAUUGAUGAUGAAUGUUUGGUCAAAUGGCAGCAAUGGAUCGAGUUACUGCCAUUAGUGGAACAGAUUCGAAUUCCACGAUCAUAUUUUGGUCGAACUAGAUCAUCAGAAAUCGACAAACUCGAGCUACAUAUUUUCACCGACGCCAGUAUUCACGCGUAUGGGUGUGUAGCGUAUUUUCGUGCAUCUAUCGGCGAUGAAGUGAAAUGUUCAUUGGCGAUGUCUAGAUCGAAAGUAGCUCCUCUGAAGAUGCAAUCUAUUCCUCGGCUAGAACUCAUGGGAGCUGUCCUCGGGGCGAGAAUGUGGCAAACUAUUAAAGCCCACCAUUCACUGCCAAUCAAUCGUUGUUUUCUUUGGACUGAUUCGCAAACAGUCAUGAGUUGGCUGCGGUCUGAUCAGCGAAAAUAUAAACAAUUCGUUGCAUUCAGAGUCGGGGAGAUUUUGGAGACGACCGGAUCAUCCGACUGGCGUUGGAUUCCAUCCCGGUUGAACCUCGCUGAUGCGCUGACGAAAUGGGGACAAGGUCCACCGUUGAGUUCAGACGGAGAAUGGUUCAAGGGUGCAAGAUUUCUGUAUGAACCUGAAGAGUCGUGGCCAAACGAGCGACUACCAGUAACUAAUAUUGAGGAAGAAAUGAAAAUGCACUUUCUUCACCAUGAAACAAAGGAGUUUCCAGAACCCAUUAUCAACGUGGAAGUUACGUGGCGCUGGAUUAAGUUAUUGCGAAUCAUAGCUUGCGUAAUCAGAUUUAUCACUAAUAUUCGUCGGAAGGUAAAGGGACUUCCGAUACGUACGCUAAUGUCAAACAAGCAUCAGCAACGCAAACUACAUGUGAACCUCAACACAGUACAACAACCAUUGCAACAGGACGAGUUUAUGAAAGCGGAAGUAAUUUUGUGGAAACAGGCGCAAUUAGAGGUAUUUCCAAAUGAAGUAGUGAUACUGCUGGGAAAUGAAACAAUAAAAGGGGACCAGAAGCCAGCGCAGAUCGGGAAGAGAAGUCCAUUGUAUAAACUCACUCCGAUAUUAGACGAGUUCGGUGUGAUUAGAAUGAACGGUCGGAUGGCUAAAUCCAAGGAAAUUCCAUUUGACAUGAAGUUUCCGAUUAUUCUUCCAAAGGGACACGCAGUGACGAAACGAUUAAUCCAAUAUUACCACGAAAAGUUUGGACAUGCGAAUCGGGAAACGGUGUUGAAUGAGCUUCGUCAAAAAUUCCAUAUUCCGAAGAUGCGAAUGGAAAUUCAACGAGUUAUGAAAGAUUGUAUCUGGUGUAAAGUAAAUCGGUGUUAUGCUGAGGUUCCUAUGAUGGCACCACUUCCGAUUCAACGAAUUACCCAACCUACAAGACCGUUUAGUGCAGUGGGUGUAGACUAUCUGGGACCUGUUGAAGUUACGGUUGGUCGCAGAAGAGAAAAACGGUGGAUUGCAUUGUUCACGUGCCUUGCCGUACGAGCAGUGCACCUGGACGUGGUACACACACUUACGACACAAGCUUGUUUAAUGGCAAUUCGAAGAUUCAUUUGCAAACGAGGUGUUCCCGAUGAAAUCUUCUCCGAUAAUGGGACAAAUUUUAAAGGAGCCAGCAAAGAGUUGAUUUUAUGGAUGAAGAGGGUGAAUUACGAAUGUGCAGAUUCGGUAGUUAAUAGUUCAAUAAAAUGGAAUUUCAAUCCUCCUGGUACACCGCAUAUGGGAGGUAUCUGGGAGAGAAUGGUUCGAUCAGUGAAGGAGGCGAUGAAGGCACUCGACGAUGGUAGACGGUUAACGGACGAAAUUUUGUUGACCACUCUUGCAGAAGCAGAAGAUAUGGUGAAUAGUCGACCACUUACAUAUGUAUCUCAGGAAUCAGCUUCUGAAACGAUUACUCCGAAUCAUUUCCUUAGAGGGACGACCAAAUCAGUGGAUCGUCAUGUAGACGGAUCGGUGGACUUCGCAGAAGCAUUGCGCGAUACGUACAAACGUUCGCAGUAUUUGGCGGACCAGAUGUGGCAACGCUGGUACAAGGAGUAUCUACCUACAAUCAAUAAACGCACCAAAUGGUUCUCUGAAAGAAGAUCGUUAAAGAAAGGAGAUCUGGUGUUUGUGGUAGAUGGUCAGCACCGAAAAAGCUGGAUCAGAGGAAUAGUCGAGGAAACAAUCAUAGGGUCUGAUGGUAGAGUUCGACAGGCAGAUGUGCGAACAAGUAAUGGUUUAUUCCGGCGCGGAGUAGCCAACCUUGCAGUGCUAGAAAUUGGUGGUAAAUCCGGACAACGAUGAAGUGUUACCGGAGUUACGGGCGGGGGGUGUUGGCAACACUGUGCAUUAACGGUGCUCGCAACCGGCCUGCCAUGAAAUUAGUUACGCAAAUAAUGAGACAUGCGACGCCGGUCUACAGUGGUAGUACCGUCGUUGAAUGUUUAUGCCCAAUAGGAAUGAGAAUCAAAACAAAAGAACAAAUUAGAGGUUGAUGAAAGUUGAUUUAAAAGAAAAAAAAUAAGUUUGGCAUAAAAUAGUUAGCACGAAAAAUAUAUUGAAGAAAAAGUUUAUUUAGGAACUAGAGAAUCAUUACGAUAUACGGUAGACUAAAUGAAUUUAGUUGAGUCAUUUUUCUCUAUUUUAAUACUGUUUAUUAUUUCAAAACAUCAAAUUAGGUUUGCGAAAAAGAAAUCAGUGGUCCUUUAAACGGCAAAAAUUUCUAAACUAGUACUAGUACUACUAGAUAGAUAAUCAUUUGUGGACGAGAAAUAUCUGCAAAAUUCCACGACACACGUUGUACGAGGUGGAAGAAAACUAUUAAUUGUAAGUUGUAUAUCAUUUAAUGUAAUUGCACUAUUUACCGGAACUAUUAAAUUGCAGUUUGAGCUGCCUUGAAG